UGGGGAAUAUUGGACAAUGGGGGGAACCCUGAUCCAGCCAUGCCGCGUGUGUGAAGAAGGCCUUAUGGUUGUAAAGCACUUUAAGCGAGGAGGAGGCUCUCUUGGUUAAUACCCAAGAUGAGUGGACGUUACUCGCAGAAUAAGCACCGGCUAACUCUGUGCCAGCAGCCGCGGUAAUACAGAGGGUGCGAGCGUUAAUCGGAUUUACUGGGCGUAAAGCGUGCGUAGGCGGCUUUUUAAGUCGGAUGUGAAAUCCCCGAGCUUAACUUGGGAAUUGCAUUCGAUACUGGGAAGCUAGAGUAUGGGAGAGGAUGGUAGAAGUCCAGGUGUAGCGGUGAAAUGCGUAGAGAUCUGGAGGAAUACCGAUGGCGAAGGCAGCCAUCUGGCCUAAUACUGACGCUGAGGUACGAAAGCAUGGGGAGCAAACAGG
This 430-nucleotide ribosomal RNA is filed under the name Bacillota bacterium. Its description in RNAcentral is "Firmicutes bacterium partial 16S ribosomal RNA". It matches the Rfam family "Bacterial small subunit ribosomal RNA", at positions 355 to 776 of the family's 1533-position model. Lineage: Bacteria; Bacillati; Bacillota. The record is from RNAcentral.